UCCGGUGUCCAUAGCGGAGCUGUCACACACGUUCCCUUCCCGAACACGGUAGUUAAGGGCUCCAGCGGCGAUGGUACUGUAAAUUUGACUAUGGGAGAGUAGCACGGCGCCGGAA
This 115-nucleotide ribosomal RNA is filed under the name Lentisphaerota bacterium. Lineage: Bacteria; Pseudomonadati; Lentisphaerota. The record is from RNAcentral. RNAcentral also lists the same sequence under 1 other name.